UGGAUCCUACAGGACGCAGCAGUAGGGAAUUUUCGUCAAUGGGCGCAAGCCUGAACGAGCAAUGCCGCGUGAACGAGGAAGGUCUUCGGAUCGUAAAGUUCUGUUGAAGGGGAAAAAGAGCGGAGAGAGGAAAUGAACUCCGAUUGAUAUUACCCUUCGAGGAAGUCACGGCUAACUACGUGCCAGCAGCCGCGGUAAUACGUAGGUGGCGAGCGUUAUCCGGAAUGAUUGGGCGUAAAGGGUGCGUAGGCGGCCUGCUAAGUCUGGAGUGAAAGGUACCGGCUCAACCGGUACAGGCUCUGGAA
This 305-nucleotide ribosomal RNA is filed under the name uncultured bacterium. RNAcentral describes it as "bacterial SSU rRNA". It matches the Rfam family "Bacterial small subunit ribosomal RNA", at positions 333 to 631 of the family's 1533-position model. The record is from RNAcentral.